Molecule: non-coding RNA, 513 nt
Organism: Amborella trichopoda
Lineage: Eukaryota; Viridiplantae; Streptophyta; Magnoliopsida; Amborellales; Amborellaceae
Source: RefSeq, a predicted model, not a curated record
GAUUAGGUUGUUUGUAUUACAAGCGCAAGUGGUGGUAUCGGUGAAGAGAUGACUAGUUCAUAAACUAGCAACGCCAUGUCCAUUCUUGUCUAGCAAUGCCAUGCCUUUUCAUGUCCAGUUCUGCAAUGCUAGUGGCUGACAAUGUAGGAUGUGCAUUUCUGUAGUAGAGACAAUCCUGGUAGGCAGUACUAAAAAUGCAAGAAUGGAACUCACUGACAUCACCACCAUCAAAGAACGAAAUAUUGAUCAAGAUGUUAGCUGAUCGACAAUCAAAUUGCACAAAGGGACUUGAUUUUGUUGUCAUCAACAUCUCAUGUUUAUUUUAUUUUAUUUUUAUUUUUAUUUUUCGUUUAUGUUUGUUGGUGGCGGACUAGAAAAGUGAACCAAAUUCUCACGUUUAAUAUUGUUUUGGGAAAAGCAAUAUAUAACGAUGUGAAAUGAACAACAUUGAAAUGGACCCACAAUGGCACAUUGUCUUCUUCAAUAUACUGUUACAGCUUAAAUCAUCUCUGA